AAAGCGCGACGAGAGGCGGCCGAGGCGGCCGGUGGGCGCGGCGCCAGCCCCGGCGGCGCGUUCCUGGCAGCGGCCCCUCCCCGCCGCGCGCUCCGCCCCCAACUUCUCAUUCACACUUUCCCCCCACCCCCCUCCCUUCUAAGAAGGCUGAUUUCUGGCAGAGGCGGGGGCGCCGCUUCGGGAGAGCGGGCAGUUCUAGGAGGCCGACCUGGAGAGCCUCCCGGUUCCCCUUCCCCUUUUCCCGGACCCCGCGGGGACACCCCCUCGCCGCCACCCGGGCCUCCCCGAGGGCCCAACUGCGGGUCAGGCGGCCCGGGCCAGCCGAAAGGGAAGUGGGGCUACCCCACAGCCAGGCAGCGGGGCUGGGGUCAGACCCGGGAGCCGGAGGUUGGAGACGUGCGACAGUCACCUGCGGGCAGAUUCCAGAGGGGAGACCCAGGGCUGCAGGGGACGCCCCUUCGUGGCAGCUACCCAGCCUCGGCCCACUGCCAGGUUCUUUGCCAACCCUGACGCGAGUGUGGAGCCCCCCUCCCCUCCCCUAUGAAAACGCUUUCAUGCACUGGGGUCUGCAAACCUGGUUGGUCCGGUGUGGGUUGGGCCAGGUGCUCUCGGCCGGGCUGGAGAGCUCGAGGUGGAACGAUGGCCCCAACCUACGGCCCGCGUCCGCCAGAGGGCGCCCUGGGGUCUCCUAGGGGAGGGCAGUUUGGUGCUGCGCGGCCCAGGCCUUGGAAUAGGCACGCCAGGGAUCUGCGGGAAUGGCUGUCUCCGGAGCUGGAAAGGUGGCCGAGAAGGGGGCAUUCACACCCCAGGCUGGGGUCAGACCUGGGAAUAAAAUUCUAGCAGGAGAGAAUUUCCGGAAAGCAGUUUUCCGGGGUUCAGGCUACUGCCAGAUGGCCCACACCCCCUGGAAUGUGACCCCCUGCCUCUCUUGGGGUGGGGGAGGACUUGAUCACUGGCGGGGAGGGGGUAGAGGGGAGGAGAGGAAGUGAUUGAGGUGAAAGAUUGGUUUGCUGCUGGUCACGUUGGCACUGACGUAGAUAGUUUGGGCUUGGAGACCCGGGGCCAGCCUUAUGAAGGAUGGCAAGUUUUGUCAUCUUGUCCCCAAAUGGGCUGUGUGGUGCUGGGGACACCCGAGAGCUGCCUCAGUGGCAUUUAGAUUUUCACCUCUCGGGAUGCAGACGCUGUGGGCCUGGGGCCCUGCGCUCUUCCUAGAUACCAGGAUAAUGAGGUGCUGAAAGGGAAGGAAGAGACUGCCGCCAGGGACAGGGAGCUUGGGAUGCCAGAACCCAGAACUGGCCCUUUUGCCGGCCCUGGAAUUGAUAGGUGCGCACUGCCUUUGCCACUGUAUCCUCAGUCCGUGCCAUCACCUCUCCCCAGCAUGUGCUGGGGACUCAGUGAGAUUUGGACAAGACACACAGUUUCUCUGGGCUUCCGUUUUGCCACCUGUAAAACUGGAGCCAGAACCUUUUCCUUCCCUUUGGCAGGCGGAGGCGAGAGGAUCACUUGAGCAUGGACAUUCAAGACCAGCCUGGGCAGCAAAUGUUACGUGGCUGCAUGACCAUACACUUCUGGGUAGAGCCCAGUGGAAGACAAAGAAGACUCAAGGAAUAGCCCUUGAGGUAAUGGAUGAGAAAGUGCUUUGUAAAUUACAAUGCUCUGACACAAGUCAAGUUCAUUCAUCCAUUCCAUAAACCUCUGCCGAGAGCCUGCUUUUGCCAGGCACAGGGCGAAGUGCUGGAAGACAGAAGUGCUGGGUGAAUCCUGCAGGGGGAGAUGGCCAAGGCAAUCGGCAUGGAGCCCCCAGGUGAUGAGUGAGGUGGGAGGUGCGGGGCUCCCUGCCUGCUCAUCUCAGCAGGAGAUCCAACUGCUGUUCGGGCUCUAUCACCCAGUAGCUGUGUGACUUUAGGCAAUCUGCCUUACCAGCUGUGCCUCGGUUUCCUUAUUUGUAAAAUGGUUGGAGAGUAGUACCUACCUCACUGAGUUGUCUGGAGCUCCCACAUGCAAAAUGCUUAGAGUGGUGCCUUGCACAUAGGAAGUGCUCAAUGCAUAUUAACUGUCAUGAUUUUGAAAGCACUGGGGAGGCUUUGAGGAGAGGGAGGAGUGAGCUGAGCUGCUGCAGCUUGGGCUCAUAGGGUUGGCUAUGGAUGUAAGCUGCCUUGUUUUGGGGAACCGUACAUCUCCUAUGGAAGAUACAUUCCAAAAAGCUGCUUGUCUUGAAACAGGUCAGCCAGCCACCAAGCUUCUUUUUUUUUUUUUUGAGACGGAGUCCCACCUGUCACCCAGGCUGGAGUGCAGUGGUGCCAUCUCGGCUCACUGCAACCUCCGCCUCCCAGGUUUAAGUGAUUCUCUUGCCUCAGUCUCCCGAGUACUUGGGAUUACAGGCAUGUGCCACCAUGCCUGGCUAAUUUUUUUGUAUUUUUAGUAGAGACAGGGUUUCGCUAUGUUGGCCAGGCUGGUCUCGAACUCCUGACCUCAGGUGAUCCGCCUGCCUUGGCCUCCCAAAGUGCUGGGAUUACGGGCAUGAGCCAUCGUGCCUGGCCUUCCCUUUGGCAUUCUAAUCUCUCCCAUGGUUUCCCAUCACUUUCUGGAUGAAUCCAGACUCCUCGGUGCAGUGUGUGUCCCACGCUGCUCCAUGUCAGUUUCAUCGGCUGCCACUGCCUCAGCGACUGGUGCCUCGUGCUCUAGCUACAUGGAGCUCCAAGCUGUCCAGAAGGUAACGUUCCUCAGUCCUGGGUUUCUGCACAUUUGCUUCCCUGUCUGGGGACAAGGAGGGAACUACCUUCCACACCUUGGCUGAUUUCUACUUUUCCUUUAAAAUUUGGCAGACGGGCUGGGCGUGGUGGCACGUGCCAGUAAUCCCAGCACUUUGGGAGGCCGAGGUGGGAGGAUUGCUUGAGCUCAGGAGUUUGAGACCAGCUUGGGCAACAUAGUGGAGACUCCAUCUCUACAAAAAAUUUUAAAAAUUAGCCGGGCAUGGUGGUGCGCGCCUGUGGUCCCAGCUACUCAGGAGGCUGAGGUGGGAGGAUCGCUUGAGCCCAGCAGGUAGAGCCUGCGGUGAGCUAUGAUUGUGCCGCAGCAUUCCAGCCUGGAAGACAGAGUGAGACUCUGUCUCCAAAAAAAAGACGGAAAAAGGCAGACACUCUAAACUUCCAGGUAGCUCUUUUUGCAUUAACCAAAAUGUUCUGACUAUAUCUCCAGUGAGGAUCUUGGGGAAACAGACUAUAUUUGAUUUUUUUUUCUUUUUAAGACUGGAACCUGGUACGUAGAAUGAAUCUCUAAGUCAAGGAUGAUGUUGACUUCUUUCCAUUGUUUUUAGAGACCACAACCUGCUUUCUUCUAGAGUACUUUUUGGUUUUCCAUGCAGGGCUCAGGAGCUAUACAGAUGGGAUAGAGGGUGUGAGUGCUGGGAAGCCCCAUCCAUGGCUCGCUGGAGAUUAGAGGCCUGUUAAUCUGAAGACAAAGGAAUGAAGACGAAAACGUUUCUGAAAAUGUGGGUGGAGACACCUGGGCCUUUACAGGGUACGCUCCAGAGCUGCUUCCAGGCAGGGACCCCGGCUGAGAGAAGCCAGAGCCAGAGAGUCGCAGGCUUGCUUGCUCUUAUCUUCCCUCUGCUGGGGGGGUCGAGGGGAGAUCUGGCCCCUCUGCUCUGCCCUCCUGAUUUCCCGUCUAAGGGAUUUAGGAGACUUUUGCCUUUUCCUAAUCUCUCCCUUUGCAGAAUUUCUGCGAAGUCACAAUCCCAUUUCCAGGCAAAGGUGCUUGGUCAUAAAGAUAAUAAAGAUAUUCAUUCAUGAUGGAGGGGAAGUACACAGUGGUUUCAGCUGCCUGUAGGGCUCCACUUACUCAUGGUGUGUGACAGAUGCUGAGCCCUUCCCCAAAUCUCAUGGAUGGGAAGGAAACCUGGCGCCGCGGGGUGGUCGCGGGAAGCCGUGGCAUGGCUUGGUGAACACAGGCUCGCCGACCCGGGGGCGGAUGCUGAGGUUGCCAUUGUUGGUGGCUGCAUCUGCAGUAGACGGGUCGGGAUGCCGGCCUCAGACCACAGCGUUGCUAAAUGCCAAACCCAAGGCCUCCCCGUCUUUAACACUGCUGGGCAUUCUACAGCGCAAGGAGGCAGCUGGGGCUGGACUGCCCAGUGCCUGCCGUUGACUGUGCGUCUUCUGCCUGUGAGCUAGCCUGCCACACCUGGGGAUACACGGUGGGGAAAUCAAUCAGCUUCCCUCCCUUCUAGAGCUUCAGGUCCGGCGUUGGUGUCUAGAGGCAAGGGGAGGAGGCAGGGAGGCCUCUUCUUUUCUGUCCCCCUUUCUCUUGGCCAAUUUGGAGGAGAUGGUGGGGGACCUGUCUCUCAUCUGACCUCCUGGAAGCCCUGCCUGCUGCUCCAGUGUGGCUCUCCCAGGGCUGAGGCCUGGAACCUAGGGCUGGGCUACCUGGGGUGCUCAGCUCUGCCGCACCCCAGCCCUCCUCGGCUGCAGCCCUGGCUUCUUUUCUUACCCACUGGGAUGGCCCGUGGGACUAACCUUGCAGCCUGCAGGACUAUGGCCCAGAUGACCUUUCCGGAGCAGGGGAAGAGUUCACAGGUCUCAGACCAGGUUGACCCCGAGCCCUCUCUUUCCUGCUUCGCAUAGGGGCGGGCCAAGGGAGGCAGGGACAAUGGCAUUCCUGUUUGCAGGCCUUUGUUCCCGCCAGGAGGGCCCCCGGAGCUAAUAAAAAGGUUUGUGGCUCCGAUGUCUAAGAGGCAGUGGAGGAGUUCUUUCAAGCCUGACAUUCCAGGCCCAGCCGGCCUCUGGCAUUUCCCAGAAAAACUUCGAGGAGGGGAGGGGAAAGAAAACACUUGAGGGACCCACCCACCUACCCACUGCCCGCCUUCUCGGAUUCCUCGUUCCCUCUGGGGAUUGGGCUGGGCCGGAGUGCCAGGACCCCUGCCCUGGGGGGCCCAUUCCUCCACCCACAGAGGGGCCCUGGGAAGUGUUGAGAGGGUGAGAGUGGAUCCUGAACCAACUUUGAAGGCAGAGAAGUGGGCUAGAAGAAGUGGGGUUGGAGCCUCCACCAAGGACAAGAAGGUGAGACUCUAAGGCGUCUAAGGUGAAACUGGGGCAGCUAUCCCCACGUGUUCCUUCCUCCCUCCCCCUUGCCGGCACUGUACUCACUGGGCCUUAGGCUGGUGUUGUUCAGAGUUUCUUAACCUGGAGCAUGUGAACUGCCCCUUCCCAGGUUUCAUACUCCCCCAACAGCCACUCCCCCGAUAAUUGCAAACAAAAUGCUGGUGGAGGGUCAGGCCCCUGGGGGCUGCAGGACCUGCCUGGAGUCACUUCUUGCCCCUGCAACACUUGUUUUUUGUUUGACACAGUAUCAAUCUGUUGCCCAGGCUGGAGUGCAGGGGCGCAAUCUCAGCUCACUGCAACCUUUGCCUCUGGGGUUCAAGCGAUUCUUCUGCCUCAGCCUGCUGAGUAGCUGGGAUUACAGGUGCACACCACCACGCCUGGUUAAUUUUUUGUAUUUUUAGGUAGAGACGGUGUUUGCCAUGUUGCCCAGACUUGUCUCGAACUCCUGAGCUCAGGCAAUCCACUGGCCUCGCUCUCCCAAAAUGCUGGGAUCACAGGCGUGAGCCAC
This 5604-nucleotide long non-coding RNA is filed under the name Homo sapiens (human). RNAcentral describes it as "non-protein coding lnc-PGS1-1:10". The record is from RNAcentral. Lineage: Eukaryota; Metazoa; Chordata; Mammalia; Primates; Hominidae.